Molecule: long non-coding RNA, 1503 nt
Filed under: Cyanistes caeruleus (blue tit)
Lineage: Eukaryota; Metazoa; Chordata; Aves; Passeriformes; Paridae
Description: lncRNA (ENSCCEG00000022254.1)
Source: RNAcentral
AAGGUUAUUAGUAUUUGAGAUGACAGCAGAGAGCUUUCCCUGGGCUGGCGGUGAAGAAGGAGAAAAGCCAGCUAAGCUGAGCUACGUGUUCACAUGCAUUCAAAGUCUGACAAAGGGCUUGUGGUGCAAAGUCCCCUUUAACUGUACUUUGUGCUGCAAGAAAUUAAGUCUUUCCUUGCCUUAAGGUGUUAUCAUUGUUAGGUGAUAUAAAAAUGCCCAGCUGUUCCCCCCUGGAAGCAAGAACUGUAGGUUUGAGGUAAAGUUCAUCUUGGUGUUUCUGAAAAUUUGGACUUGAACAGUAUGCUUUGAAAAGAUGAUGCAUUGCACUGUAUUUAUAUUUAUUCAGCAUGAGGGUCCUUCAUUAAAUUAGGAGUCACUUAUGGAAAGCACCACAAUGAGUGCCUGACACAAUGCUGCCUUGGUCAUGGGCCUGCCAGAAAAGGGGAAGCUGGAGGUCUUUGUCUGCCAGGUGUCAUUGUCCUCUCUUAAACUGCAGCCAGAGCAUGACAAUGAUUCAGGAGUGAUGAUUCAGUCAAUGGAUACCUCUUUAUUUUAUUGUAAGAUUAAGCUUUUAUAACAAUUCAGAGUGCUUGAGUUGCUGGAGCUGAUUAUAUAUUCCAUUUUCAUUAUUUUACAGGAUAAAAGUAUAACAACAAAUCAGCUUCCACUCAUGUAAGAUGACAGGUAUCUCUCUGCCAAGAAGAAUCUUGCUUUAUGACUUGUGAAUUGAAAUUUGUAUCCUCUCUAAGCACUCUUCCUAUCCAAAGUUUGGAGCAGAGAGUGGAACACAGCAGCAUGUUGUGGGAUCCUGGUUCUCAGCCUUCUCAAAGGGAAGCAGAAGGUAUUAUUCUCAAGGAGCUGUUUUUAGCAGACAGCAGUUUACUCCUAACCCCCUGGCAAGGUAACCAGUAAAAAUGCAUGAUAAAGCAUUAGUAAGCACACUAGUAAUCCAACCUUUUCUUUCUCUGUAGGAAGUUUAAUGAGUUAAAACUGUACUUUUGCUCCAAGACUCCCAUUCAUUGAGUUGGUAUGAAACCCAAGUACCCCUUUGUGCUACAACUGUACCUUCAAUGACUGACAAGGUACUGAAACCCUCUCUUUCACCUUGCUGUAGGAAAUCUUUAAUAUAGAUCAGUGAGAAAAGAUUUUCAACCUGUGACAGGAGUGUGCUGGGACCAAAUUUUUCACUUCCUGUUUCAAAUGGGUAACUCACUCCCUGUCCAGUGGAAGUUGUACUCAGGCCAUGCAUCAUGGGCAAGCAUUAUUCCCUUACCUACUGCUGCUCUGAGCACCUUAGGGUCUGGCAGGAGUGUGGGUAUGCAAACAGUGGGAUUUACAGGGCUUGUGCUCAGGAGCACCUGGUGCCCAAGCUGAGUACAGCUCUUUACAUGAUCAGGAAGUAGGCUUCCCUAAAGAAACGUAAUUCUUCCUUUAUGCCAAACUUGGUUCAAUGCAUGUGAAUUAUCAAAUAAAUUCCUCUGCUUUCUAAAAUGAGAAGUGAUU